This 500-nucleotide ribosomal RNA is filed under the name uncultured bacterium. Its description in RNAcentral is "bacterial SSU rRNA". It matches the Rfam family "Bacterial small subunit ribosomal RNA", at positions 36 to 518 of the family's 1533-position model. The record is from RNAcentral.
CUGGCGGCGUGCCUAAUACAUGCAAGUCGAGCGAAUUACGAGAGCUUGCUCUCGUAAAUUAGCGGCGGACGGGUGAGUAACACGUGGGCAACCUGCCUAUAAGACUGGGAUAACUUCGGGAAACCGGAGCUAAUACCGGAUAAUUCACAUCUACUCAUGUAGAUGUGCUGAAAGACGGUUUACGCUGUCACUUAUAGAUGGGCCCGCGGCGCAUUAGCUAGUUGGUGAGGUAACGGCUCACCAAGGCCACGAUGCGUAGCCGACCUGAGAGGGUGAUCGGCCACACUGGGACUGAGACACGGCCCAGACUCCUACGGGAGGCAGCAGUAGGGAAUCUUCCGCAAUGGACGAAAGUCUGACGGAGCAAACCGCCGCGUGAGUGAUGAAGGUUUUCGGAUCGUAAAACUCUGUUGUUAGGGAAGAACAAGUACCGGAGUAACUGCCGGUACCUUGACGGUACCUAACCAGAAAGCCACGGCUAACUACGUGCCAGCCGCAGC